Molecule: ribosomal RNA, 230 nt
Filed under: uncultured bacterium
Lineage: Bacteria
Description: partial 16S ribosomal RNA
Rfam family: Bacterial small subunit ribosomal RNA
Source: RNAcentral
UGAGCAACCUGCCCUUAGCUUUGGGAUAACCCUCGGAAACGGGGCUAAUACCGAAUGUUCACUGCCGGGCGCAUGUUUGGUGGUGGAAAGUUUUUCGGCUGGGGAUGGGCUCGCGGCCUAUCAGCUUGUUGGUGGGGUGAUGGCCUACCAAGGCGAUGACGGGUAGCCGGCCUGAGAGGGCGACCGGCCACACUGGGACUGAGACACGGCCCAGACUCCUACGGGAGGCA